RNAcentral lists this ribosomal RNA (401 nucleotides) under uncultured bacterium. Its description in RNAcentral is "bacterial SSU rRNA". It matches the Rfam family "Bacterial small subunit ribosomal RNA", at positions 355 to 773 of the family's 1533-position model. The record is from RNAcentral.
UGGGGAAUAUUGGACAAUGGGCGCAAGCCUGAUCCAGCCAUGCCGCGUGAGUGAUGAAGGCCUUAGGGUUGUAAAGCUCUUUUAUCCGGGACGAUAAUGACGGUACCGGAAGAAUAAGCCCCGGCUAACUUCGUGCCAGCAGCCGCGGUACUACGGAGGGUGCAAGCGUUAUCCGGAAUCACUGGGCGUAAAGGGCGCGUAGUCGGUCUGUUAAGUCCGAUGUUAAAUCCCGGGGCUCAACCCCGGAUAAGCGUUGGAUACUGGCAGGCUAGAAGGUUGGAGAGGCGAGUGGAAUUACCAGUGUAGCGGUGGAAUGCGUAGAUACUGGUAAGAACACCCAUUGCGAAGGCAGCUCGCUGGACAACACGUGACGCGGAGGCGCGAAAGUGUGGGGAGCAAAC